AGGGUGAUGCCUGCCCAAUGGUUGUAUCUAAAAGCGGUUGAUAAAAGUCGACCUCGUAAGGACAAUUGAAUGGCCGCGGUAACACUGACCGUGAUAAUGUAGCGUAAUCAAUAGCCAAUUAAUUGUUGGCCAGUAUGAAUGGCGCCACGAAGGCCCCACUGUCUUAAGGAAAUUCCCAGUGAAAUUGAAUUCGUAGUGAAGAUGCUACGUCCAAUUUGUUAGACGAAAAGACCCCGUUGAGCUUUACUGGGGCACUUACACGGCCCCGGCCUUCCCGUGUCCGGGAACCGGCCGAAUUUAAAUGGGUGGUUUAGACUAUGUGGCAGCCCCCCGCCGGGGCAGAUGAAACCCCACUCCCCCAUGUCAAAGGGGCUACCCCCCUCUUGGGGGGGAGAGUGUAAGUAGGACAGUUUGGUUGGGGCGACCGCCUUUUAAAGAGUAACGAAGGUGCGCUUAAGGUGCGCAAUUAAUGACUGAAGCCUGACUGCGAGGGGGACACCCCGAGCAGACACCCCUAAGCCCGCCCGAAGGG
RNAcentral lists this ribosomal RNA (532 nucleotides) under Palythoa grandiflora. RNAcentral's name for it is "partial 16S ribosomal RNA". It matches the Rfam family "Bacterial large subunit ribosomal RNA", at positions 1849 to 2418 of the family's 2925-position model. The record is from RNAcentral. Lineage: Eukaryota; Metazoa; Cnidaria; Anthozoa; Zoantharia; Sphenopidae.